Dendroctonus ponderosae (mountain pine beetle) is the source of this 3188-nucleotide RNA transcript. It is a transcript of the gene named maternal B9.15 protein, with no coding region annotated. The record is from RefSeq and is a predicted model, not a curated record. The transcript has 6 exons. NCBI's taxonomy places the organism in Eukaryota, Metazoa, Arthropoda, Insecta, Coleoptera, Curculionidae.
CUGCCAGAUGAUUUUCAGUUUGUGAUUGUGCCUAGUCAGUGAGAGUGUAAAGUUGGUUUCUUGAGUGUUGUGUGUGGUUUAUUUUGACUUUCCUUUGGUUUUUCCGAUUUUCCUUUACGCUAGCGAUUCCCCACGGAUUCCGAACAUUCGCAGGAUAUCCGAACUUCUGUUUCUUUGCCGACGACUGCUGCAUAACGGGCGACGGCCGAGCGACCAGCCACUCUUCAAACCACCGAUGUGAAUACGAUCAAGACGACCGAACCACACGAUCGACCAGAUUCAAAAUCGAGAGAAGAAAAUUAUGAAGGAAGAAGUAUACGCGGCUGUCAAGUUUUUCGCUUGCUUUCUUCAAAAAAGUGAAAAGGUGGCGCGUGAGCAGCUGAGCAACUUUGAGACCACUCUUACGGACCUUCUCCUCGAAAGGUUCGAAAAGCACUGGUUCCCAGACUUGCCCAGCAAGGGCCAGGGUUACCGUUGCAUUCGAGUGAACUGCCUGAACCCCGUCGAUUUCACCCUUGAGAUGGCAGCGAUCAAAUGCGGGCUCCGCUACAAAGACCUCAGAUUACCCGCCGAACUCACCGUGUGGGUGGAUCCUAGCGAAGUGUGCUACAGACUGGGCGAAUCGGAAGGUUCGUACUGUACCCUAGCAUCUUUUCCCCAAUCGGACGCCUCAUCGACGACCUCCUCCUCAUCAUCGACGCCAUCGUCGCCCCAGCCCCUAAGCCCCAACUCGAGCCCCAUUCCGUCGCCUACGCUGGCCUUCCAGGAGCGAUCGGUCAUGGCUAGGCGACAAGGGCAGCGAAUAGGAACGUUAGCCAGUAGGGGUCUGAUCUCCGGUUCCUAUCCAGGGAGCGCAUUUGACUACGGCGCCCAAAUGGGCAAGUUCCGAAACAACCAGGGCGGCUAUCCAGCCAAUGGAGGUGGCAGACAGAGUAGACCAUCGCAAAGAGAGUGUGCGACACUGUUCUGACACAAGACACGCACAAAAGUGGACAUAUUUUUAAGAAAUACAUGUAGAGUUAAGAAGGAGACCGCCCUUAGAUGAACUUCAACAACUACAGCCAUCCCCACCAUAGGCCCAUGUACAACCGUUGCGACGGCCCGUCUUACCCUUUGGCACCGCCCUUCUACAACAGAAACAUGAACAACAACCGUUAUUAUCAUAUGAAAAAUGUGCUCAGGGUAUAGAUGCCGCCCUGAGGGAGCAGUGAUCGUCCGAAACGGUGGCAAUUUUUAUAAAGCUUGCGCAAUUGUAAAAACAUGCGUUUCGACCACGGCCACCGCUUGCUCAUACUUUACUCCCCCCCCUUCUGCACACGACCUAAAAGGUACAAGAUUUAAAUUAAGGAUUACUUGUAGAUGUUGAUUGGAAAGGUUGGCUCAUGCCGGAUUGGGCAGGAACAGUGGCGGGGGUGUGGCCCCACCCCCCACUUUGCGCUGUUUUAUCGCAUGCAAUGAACGAGUGAGCCGCUUGAUUUUCAAGAUUUCACCGAACUUGUAAAAUAUGUUACUUAUAAAUGUGAUUAUUUUUUUGUUUCGUUUACUUUGAUCGAUUGGCCUAUUAUUUAGGUGAAUAGCGUUCAACUGAACCGACCGAGGCUGAAAACUAUAAAUGUGAUGUUUAAUUUUAGCAAAGAGGGUAUAUUGUUCUUGAUGUCUAAGUGAUGUUUUGCGCCCUGAUUUAAUAUUUCUGGUUGAUGAAACUACUGCCCCUUUAAGGGCGUCUGUAAAUUUUCAUUUCACGUCCAUCAAAUCAGGGCUGCCAAUGAAUCAACUCAAUCGUUUCUAUUCAGCUAGGUUUUGUUUUAAGCCACUUACAGCUCAGCGCGCUUGUGUGCUGUCUCAUUGGAGAGUUUUUUGUAUGUUACUGCAAAGGACUCCUCAAUGGAAAUUGUAGGCGAAGAAUGCGAUGAGGGGAUUUUUUGGUGGCCGCCCUAAAGGGGUGCCUCAAGGCGCUUCGCCCUUGAUAAUAAUCCUUUUUAUAUGUGAUAGUUAAAGUUUAGGUUAUUUUUAUCUGUCAAUGACAACUAGGCGAAGCGCCCCGGGGCGCCGAUGUCGCUUCCUCGAUUAUCCUUGAUUAUUAUCAGUGCUCUGCAGUUUUUCCCUCAAGAUUCUUGGUGUGUAUAUAUUUAUCGUGUAGAAAUCCAGUUGAUAGCUUUAAUGUUUCCUCUAGGAACGAAAGAAUGCAGAGUACUGAAGGCAGGGCCUGUUUUCGAUUGUCUAUAACGUAAUUCUUAGGGGAAAUGUUGUAUCCCUCCUCCACCCGACACCUGCAGUUCGUUUUAUAUGAAUUUUAGUUUAGUUUUAGUGUUUGGUUUCGAAUAAGCAUUUUAUAAUCAAUUUUUAAGCAUUUUCUUGCAGCCUGCCAGUGGGCGAUGUGGGGCUGCGCCGCACAGCAUUAAAAUGGACUUUGAUAUAUCUACUAAUAUUCGACAUAGGCCUUGAUGUUCUCGUAAUAAUUAGUCAACAAAAGUACAAACUAACGUUAAAUAUUCGCUUGCUGCGCAGCAGCUGCGCAUCACUGGCUGGCUACUUAGUACUGUUAGCAAUCAACCUUACCAAGGCUGAAAAAGACUUCACAGUCUUCACAUGGUCCAAACUGAUGACGAAAUAUCGCAACGUCCCAUACGUUCUCUUAGGGCUGGAUACGGCUCGAUUUUAGACACUAGGUUUUUACCGUUAAGGGUUUGGUAUUCACAGACAUACAGGUUUAUUAUAUGAACAGCUUGCUAGAUACAGACCGGGGUUUCGGUCGAAACCCUUUUAAACGUAAGUGAGGUUUGGUUUUUUUCUACUUUUUUAAUUUUUAAUGGUAACGCAAGAACUAACAGGGUGUUUUUAUAGCAACUAUUGCGGUAUUUGAGUAAUGCUAACUUCCAUCUCGUUUCGUUCAAUAUCGGGCAGGUUUUUUGAGAUGUUCAGUACAACUAAACGAUAACAUGUGAUACAUUGUCAAAUAGGCAAAAGCGUGCAAUUAACUUAACGAAAUUCUAAUCAUUUGGAAGCGUCCGCCACUAAUCGAUUAAAAGUGAUUUAAUCGUUCAAUAUACCUUGAAAAGCCUGCGAAACUUACUGUAGAAAUAUGUUGUAUAAUGAACAUGUAUAUGUAUAGAGUAAAUGAUUGUUCUGUGUAAUAUAAAAUACAUAUUUAAAUAUAUUAAUGUUAAGACAUGCAUUCAAACUGAAAA